RNAcentral lists this ribosomal RNA (253 nucleotides) under uncultured bacterium. RNAcentral's name for it is "partial 16S ribosomal RNA". It matches the Rfam family "Bacterial small subunit ribosomal RNA", at positions 524 to 776 of the family's 1533-position model. The record is from RNAcentral.
UACGAAGGGGGCUAGCGUUGCUCGGAAUUACUGGGCGUAAAGCGCGCGUAGGCGGGUCGCUAAGUCGGGGGUGAAAUCCUGGAGCUCAACUCCAGAACUGCCUUCGAUACUGGCGAUCUUGAGUCCGGGAGAGGUGAGUGGAACUCCGAGUGUAGAGGUGAAAUUCGUAGAUAUUCGGAAGAACACCAGUGGCGAAGGCGGCUCACUGGCCCGGUACUGACGCUGAGGUGCGAAAGCGUGGGGAGCAAACAGG